UACAGAGGGUGCGAGCGUUAAUCGGAGUUACUGGGCGUAAAGGGCGCGUAGGCGGUUGUAUUAGUGUGAUGUGAAAGCCCUGGGCUUAACCUAGGAAGCGCAUUGCAAACGGUAUAACUAGAGUAUAAGAGAGGGUGGUGGAAUUUCCGGUGUAGCGGUGAAAUGCGUAGAGAUCGGAAGGAACGUCAAUGGCGAAGGCAGCCACCUGGCUUAAUACUGACGCUGAGGCGCGAAAGCGUGGGGAGCAAACAGG
RNAcentral lists this ribosomal RNA (253 nucleotides) under uncultured Aquicella sp. RNAcentral's name for it is "partial 16S ribosomal RNA". It matches the Rfam family "Bacterial small subunit ribosomal RNA", at positions 524 to 776 of the family's 1533-position model. The record is from RNAcentral. Lineage: Bacteria; Pseudomonadati; Pseudomonadota; Gammaproteobacteria; Legionellales; Coxiellaceae.